AUUUUUUCUUGGACAUUUGGUUAAGAUCAAGUGUAGUAUCUGUUCUUAUCAGUUUAAUAUCUGAUAUGUCCUCUAUCUGAGGACAGUAUCUUAAAUGGAUUUUUGGAGCAGGGAGAUGGAAUAGGAGCUUGCUCCAUCCACACCAUCCAUUGACCUGGUAUCGCAGUACCUCCAGGAAUGGUGCACCCCUC
Propithecus coquereli (Coquerel's sifaka) is the source of this 191-nucleotide small nuclear RNA. Its record names the gene U2. It matches the Rfam family "U2 spliceosomal RNA". Rfam says of the family: U2 is a small nuclear RNA (snRNA) component of the spliceosome (involved in pre-mRNA splicing). Complementary binding between U2 snRNA (in an area lying towards the 5' end but 3' to hairpin I) and the branchpoint sequence (BPS) of the intron results the bulging out of an unpaired adenosine, on the BPS, which initiates a nucleophilic attack at the intronic 5' splice site, thus starting the first of two transesterification reactions that mediate splicing. The record is from Ensembl. Lineage: Eukaryota; Metazoa; Chordata; Mammalia; Primates; Indriidae.